Molecule: ribosomal RNA, 510 nt
Filed under: uncultured bacterium
Lineage: Bacteria
Description: bacterial SSU rRNA
Rfam family: Bacterial small subunit ribosomal RNA
Source: RNAcentral
ACACUGGAACUGAGACACGGUCCAGACUCCUACGGGAGGCAGCAGUGAGGAAUAUUGCGCAAUGGGGGCAACCCUGACGCAGCAACGCCGCGUGAGUGAGGAAGGUUUUCGGACCGUAAAGCUCUGUCGAGCGGGAAGAAAUGUAUCAUGGCUAAUAUCCAUGGUACUUGACGGUACCGCUAAAGGAAGCACCGGCUAACUCCGUGCCAGCAGCCGCGGUAAUACGGGGGGUGCAAGCGUUGUUCGGAAUUAUUGGGCGUAAAGAGCGUGUAGGCGGCUGAAUAAGUCAGAUGUGAAAUCCCCGGGCUUAACCCUGGAAGUGCAUUUGAAACUAUUCAGCUUGAGUAAGGGAGAGGAAAGUGGAAUUCCUGGUGUAGAGGUGAAAUUCGUAGAUAUCAGGAGGAACACCGGUGGCGAAGGCGACUUUCUGGCCCUAUACUGACGCUGAGACGCGAGAGCGUGGGUAGCAAACAGGAUUAGAUACCCUGGUAGUCCACGCUGUAAACGAUG